GACGCGGAUUACGGUGGCGGC
This 21-nucleotide small RNA is filed under the name Arabidopsis thaliana (thale cress). RNAcentral describes it as "snRNA_01263". Lineage: Eukaryota; Viridiplantae; Streptophyta; Magnoliopsida; Brassicales; Brassicaceae. The record is from RNAcentral.